ACGCGUGGAACCUUACCAGGUCUUGACAUCCCGCUGCCCGGUAUAGAGAUAUACCUUUCCCUUCGGGGACAGCGGUGACAGGUGGUGCAUGGUUGUCGUCAGCUCGUGUCGUGAGAUGUUGGGUUAAGUCCCGCAACGAGCGCAACCCUUGAUCUUAGUUGCCAGCAUUCAGUUGGGCACUCUAAGGUGACUGCCGGUGACAAACCGGAGGAAGGUGGGGAUGACGUCAAAUCAUCAUGCCCCUUAUGACCUGGGCUACACACGUGCUACAAUGGAUGGUACAAAGGGCAGCAAAACCGCGAGGUCGAGCAAAUCCCAUAAAACCAUUCUCAGUUCGGAUUGUAGGCUGCAACUCGCCUGCAUGAAGCUGGAAUCGCUAGUAAUCGCGGAUCAGCAUGCCGCGGUGAAUACGUUCCCGGGCCUUGCACACACCGCCCGU
This 439-nucleotide ribosomal RNA is filed under the name uncultured bacterium. Its description in RNAcentral is "bacterial SSU rRNA". It matches the Rfam family "Bacterial small subunit ribosomal RNA", at positions 959 to 1397 of the family's 1533-position model. The record is from RNAcentral.